This is a long non-coding RNA of Tachysurus fulvidraco (yellow catfish), 1937 nucleotides long. RefSeq lists it as uncharacterized. The transcript has 2 exons. The record is from RefSeq and is a predicted model, not a curated record. Lineage: Eukaryota; Metazoa; Chordata; Actinopteri; Siluriformes; Bagridae.
UAUUGUUUAAAGCCGGGUUUAAACUGUUUUUCGGAUGCUAUCGUCAGGUCAGUUCUAAUAUCCAGGCUGAAGCCCAAACGACGGCCAUUUUUGAUCAGUAGUGCACUAAAUAGUGAACAGAACACAGUUGUGAUCCGUGGGGAAUUGCGGUUAUGAAGGAAUCAGAGAAUUGUGUAGGAUUUGGCCUUGGAUGUGUUCGAGUAGCGCAGCUUUUACGCAGCGCAGAGCAGCGCAGGAUUUACGCAGUGAAUUACACAUAGCAUAUGGGGGUUAAGUGACACCCACAUUUUUACAUACACACUCAAAAACAAGAGUUUUGUAGUAUGGGAUCUUGUUUGUUUGUACCUUCUCUGUAUAUUUUGAACACUUUUGUCAUUCUGUGAAAUUUAGGAUUAGCAUUGAAUGUUUUUCUAAAGUUUGUAUGACUGAAUAUCUGACUGAAUGAAUGGCAGACAGAGUGUCUGACUGGUUCUCUGGCUUUCUAUCACUGUCUGACUGAUUAAUGGACAGGUUUAAUUAGUUGUCUGAUUGAAUGUCUGACUCACACCUUGACUGACUGUGUACAGUGUGCAGACUUAAGAACUAUGAUUGGAGAAAUUCACGUCCUCUAAAAGGUUCAAGAUAUCUCAGAGUCAAAAGUUUAAUCUUCAUAAAGUCCUUAAUUCCAGCUCCCUACAUGAGGCACUAAUAAUACAGACAUAUUUCGAGUGACCAGCCAUUGUAAAACGGUUGCUAUCUGUUUACAAGCUGAUUUCUUUCUAUUCUAGAUGUUGCGUAAUCAUUAGGGGCAGCUUUGCAGUCUGCCCCAUGUAGCUGCAGACACUUAUUAUUGCACCUUGUGGUCAAAAAUGGGAUCUGCAACAAGCAUGUGAAAAGGCCUGGCUGCAAUCUUGAUUGAACAUACUGGCACUAUUCCUGUCUUGUUAGUUAGAAACACCAGCUAACACAAUGUUACGUCACCAGACACACGUGACAUCUUAAAAUGCUCAGCACAAUGUCGAGAACUUCGACACGGGUGUUCUAAUGAUGUCACGUGACAACACACACGUGCACGUCAACCCCCUAUAUGAACUGAAUCGCAAAAUUGCCGCAACGUUCACGUGUGACGUAUGAAAACACUCGAUGUAAUAAGGUGAGCUGGAUUAUGUGCAUUCUCGCAAUGUCACGUACUCGUAUCCUCUUGCCUUCAAAGGUAUUGCCACCCUAUCUGUCCACUCGCCUCCAAAAGUAUUGCCACCCUAUCUGUCCACUCACCACCAAAAGUAUUGCCACCCUAUCUGUCCACUCACCACCAAAAGUAUUGAAUGUGUUUCAGGUGGAGGAAGUAAGGUGUUAACAUUUAUAAAAUUUCCUCGCAGGUGAACGAAGUGAAAAAGAAGCACAGUAUGAUCCUCUCAGCUCCCAACCCUGACGAAACUAUGCAGCAGAACUCGCCUCCAGAAGACCAAGCCAACCAUGCCUCAGUGGACGAGCGCAUCCAGAGAACACAGGAGGGCGUCCUCAUAGUCUCAGUAGCACUUUGGAUCAGUUUGUUUUCUUAAGGUCCAAGACACUGGGCUUCGGUUUAGGUCCUUGCCUUGUUAUUAACACUAGAACCAGGAAGGAAUCAGAAAACAGUGGGGUUUUAGGGUCAGUGGGGUUUUUAUAAAUAAAAUUUUUUUGAGAAUAAAAUUGAAUAGAUUGAGGAAAAAAAGUUCUGAGAAAUUGUCAAAAAUAAUUACAAGAUAAAAGGCAAGAUCUUUUAAUACAGGUAGCUGUAACACAAUGCAGGACUUUAUUUAUUAUUAAUAUUUAUUAUAUCUGAACACUAGGACACUAUUGUUCUAACCUCAAUCUCAACACUGAUGUGAAAGAAAUUUAGUUAAAUUCUGAUGCUGAUGUUGUGAUGAAGGAGUAAAUUAAUAUUGACAUAAAAGCAUUUUUUAUGAAUAAUGCAA